AUGAGCCUAGCUAGGAUUUGGGACAUGUAUGAGGAUGAGAACAAGCUGAGGCUGAGGCAAAAUGUAGUUAAUGCAGAAGAAAAUUUCAAGAUCAUGGAAGAGAAGGAGAAGAUGGAAAAAGAGUUGAGGUUUUUUAAGGUUGAUUUUGUAAAAAUGGUGCCUGACAAAGAGAAGGCAUUGGCCCAACUAGGCAACACACAUCUUGCUCUGACAGACCUGAAGCAAGAACUUGAGAAGAAGAAUUUUUUUGACAAAUCCGUCACAAAUAUUCAUCAGGUUGUGAGGGCCAAGGCAGAGAAAGAGAGGGGCCUAAUGCAGCAGGAGAGGGAAAAAUUAAUGGAAGAGAGGGACAGUUUGGUGUUGCAGAGAGAUCAGCUAAAGUAA
Molecule: ribosomal RNA, 384 nt
Filed under: Triticum aestivum (bread wheat)
Lineage: Eukaryota; Viridiplantae; Streptophyta; Magnoliopsida; Poales; Poaceae
Description: partial small subunit ribosomal RNA
Source: RNAcentral